RNAcentral lists this ribosomal RNA (492 nucleotides) under uncultured bacterium. RNAcentral's name for it is "partial 16S ribosomal RNA". It matches the Rfam family "Bacterial small subunit ribosomal RNA", at positions 30 to 507 of the family's 1533-position model. The record is from RNAcentral.
AUUGAACGCUGGCGGCAUGCUUUACACAUGCAAGUCGAACGGUAACAGGCCUUCGGGUGCUGACGAGUGGCGCACGGGUGAGUAAUGCAUCGGAACGUGCCCAGAGGUGGGGGAUAACGCAGCGAAAGCUGUGCUAAUACCGCAUGUGAUCUGAGGAUGAAAGCGGGGGACCAGGCAGCAAUGUUUGGCCUCGCGCCUUUGGAGCGGCCGAUGUCAGAUUAGGUAGUUGGUGGGGUAAAGGCCUACCAAGCCGCCGAUCUGUAGCUGGUCUGAGAGGACGACCAGCCACACUGGGACUGAGACACGGCCCAGACUCCUACGGGAGGCAGCAGUGGGGAAUUUUGGACAAUGGGCGCAAGCCUGAUCCAGCAAUGCCGCGUGCGGGAAGAAGGCCUUCGGGUUGUAAACCGCUUUUGUACGGAAAGAAAAGGCUCUGGCUAAUACCUGGGGCUGAUGACGGUACCGUAAGAAUAAGCACCGGCUAACUACGUG